UGUUUUUGUCUUUGUCUCGGGCUGUUGGAGAACAAAGAAGCACUUCGUUGGAAACGAACAAGCCCAUUACCUGCAAUCUCACUCAGUGAUUAUCUGAAAGUGAGGUUGUCAUCUGCCUCUUUGAUGUAAACUAAUGGUCUUACCAGCUAGCCUAGCUUGCCCUGGUCGUCUCACUCACAUGCAAGCCUUGGGUUACGCUGUCCUACAGGCCUCCUGUACACACAGGGGUGGCGAUGCAGACGUCUGUAUCGGUCUGCUAAUACAGGACUAGUAGUUGACCAGUACACUAAUGGAGUUAUAUUGGAGUUAUAUUCCUGCCUUUCCAGGGAAUUUUUCCUAGCCACCGUGCUUCUACAUCUGCAUUGCUUGCUGUUUGGGGUUUUAGGCUGGGUUUCUGUACAGCACAUUAUGACAUCAGCUGAUGUAAAAAGGGC
This is a long non-coding RNA of Oncorhynchus tshawytscha (Chinook salmon), 434 nucleotides long. Lineage: Eukaryota; Metazoa; Chordata; Actinopteri; Salmoniformes; Salmonidae. The record is from Ensembl.